This 309-nucleotide ribosomal RNA is filed under the name uncultured bacterium. Its description in RNAcentral is "bacterial SSU rRNA". It matches the Rfam family "Bacterial small subunit ribosomal RNA", at positions 29 to 365 of the family's 1533-position model. The record is from RNAcentral.
AACGAACGCUGGCGGCAUGCCUAACACAUGCAAGUCGAACGAGACCUUCGGGUCUAGUGGCGCACGGGUGCGUAACGCGUGGGAAUCUGCCCUUGGGUUCGGAAUAACAGCGAGAAAUUGCUGCUAAUACCGGAUGAUGACGUAAGUCCAAAGAUUUAUCGCCCAAGGAUGAGCCCGCGUAGGAUUAGCUAGUUGGUGAGGUAAAGGCUCACCAAGGCGACGAUCCUUAGCUGGUCUGAGAGGAUGAUCAGCCACACUGGGACUGAGACACGGCCCAGACUCCUACGGGAGGCAGCAGUGGGGAAUAUU